This 74-nucleotide transfer RNA is filed under the name Distylium myricoides. RNAcentral's name for it is "tRNA-His". It matches the Rfam family "tRNA". Rfam says of the family: Transfer RNA (tRNA) molecules are approximately 80 nucleotides in length. Their secondary structure includes four short double-helical elements and three loops (D, anti-codon, and T loops). The record is from RNAcentral. Lineage: Eukaryota; Viridiplantae; Streptophyta; Magnoliopsida; Saxifragales; Hamamelidaceae. RNAcentral also lists the same sequence under 6 other names.
GGCGGAUGUAGCCAAGUGGAUCAAGGCAGUGGAUUGUGAAUUCACCAUGCGCGGGUUCAAUUCCCGUCGUUCGC